UGACCAGCCCCAAAGGAAGAGCCGGCUAACUCUGUGCCAGCAGCCGCGGUAAUACAGAGGGCUCGAGCGUUAAUCGGAAUCACUGGGCUUAAAGCGUGCGUAGGCGGAUUUGAAGGCGCUUUGUGAAAUCCCUCGGCUCAACCGAGGAACUGCUUGGCGAACCACAAAUCUUGAGGCUGGUAGAGGUGGUCGGAACAAUAGGUGGAGCGGUGAAAUGCGUAGAUAUCUAUUGGAACACCGAAGGUGAAGACAGGCCACUGGGCCAGUCCUGACGCUGAGGCACGAAAGCGUGGGUAGCAAACGGGAUUAGAUACCCCGGUAGUCCACGCCGUAAACGAUGCGCACUUGGUCGAGGGGGUUGAACGCCUUCUCGGCCGUAGGAAAACUGAUUAGUGCGCCGCCUGGGGAGUACGGUCGCAAGAUUAAAACUCAAAGGAAUUGACGGGGGCUCACACAAGCGGUGGAGCAUGUGGCUUAAUUCGAAGCAACGCGAAGAACCUUACCUAGGCUUGACAUGCACGGAUAAAACCUAUGAAAGUAGGCGUACACCCGCAAGGGCGGAACGUGCACAGGUGCUGCAUGGCUGUCGUCAGCUCGUGCUGUGAAGUGUCGGGUUAAGUCCCUCAACGAGCGCAACCCCUGUCGCUACUUGCUAACGCGUAAUGGCGAGGACUGUAGCGAGACUGCCGGUGUCAAACCGGAGGAAGGUGGGGAUGACGUCAAGUCCUCAUGGCCUUUAUGUCUAGGGCUGCACACGUGCUACAAUGGUAUGUACAGAACGAUGCAAGACCGCAAGGUGGAGCAAAUCGCUAAAGCAUACCCCAGUUCAGAUUGCGGGCUGAAAUUCGCCCGCAUGAAGUUGGAAUCGCUAGUAAUCGCGGAUCAGCUACGCCGCGGUGAAUAUGUUCCUGAGCCUUGUACACACCGCCCGUCAAGUCAUGGGAGCCGGCAGUGCCCGAAGUCGCGCAAAUUCAUGCGUGCCCACGGCAAGGCUGGUGACUGGGACUAAGUCGUAACAAGGUAGCCGUAGGGGAACCUGCGGCUGGAUCACCUCCUUU
This 1058-nucleotide ribosomal RNA is filed under the name uncultured bacterium. RNAcentral's name for it is "bacterial SSU rRNA". It matches the Rfam family "Bacterial small subunit ribosomal RNA", at positions 470 to 1533 of the family's 1533-position model. The record is from RNAcentral.